UGCGUAGACGGCUUAGCAAGUCAGGGGUGAAAGGCAUUGGCUCAACCAAUGUAGGCCUUUGAAACUGUUAGGCUUGAGUGCAGGAGAGGAAAGUGGAAUUCCUAGUGUAGCGGUGAAAUGCGUAGAUAUUAGGAGGAACACCAGUGGCGAAGGCGACUUUCUGGACUGUAACUGACGUUGAGGCACGAAAGCGUGGGGAGCGAACA
Molecule: ribosomal RNA, 206 nt
Filed under: uncultured bacterium
Lineage: Bacteria
Description: partial 16S ribosomal RNA
Rfam family: Bacterial small subunit ribosomal RNA
Source: RNAcentral